GACGAACCAUGCAAACGUUAUUCGGAUUCACUGGGCUUAAAGCGUGCGUAGGCGGCCAUGUUAGUCAGGUGUGAAAGCCCUCAGCCCAACUGAGGAAUUGCGCUUGAUACUGCAUGGCUAGAGAAUGAUAGAGGUGGGUGGAACUGAUGGUGGAGCGGUGAAAUGCGUUGAUAUCAUCAGGAACACCAGUGGCGAAGGCGACCCACUGGGUCAUUUCUGACGCUGAGGGACGAAAGCUAGGGGAGCGAACGGG
Molecule: ribosomal RNA, 253 nt
Filed under: uncultured bacterium
Lineage: Bacteria
Description: partial 16S ribosomal RNA
Rfam family: Bacterial small subunit ribosomal RNA
Source: RNAcentral